AAAACGCUACAACGAAAUUCCUGUAAAGUUUUCGAUUUUGGUUAUUUGGAAAAGUUAUUUGCGGGCGUAUACACACAUACACAAACAAACGAAUCUGGAGUUUGGUUUGGUGUCCGACGAUAAUAUUAUGCGAUCACACGUAGGAAACAUUGUAAAAUCCUGCAGUUGCACCCUACAGUGUGCAUUAUAACGUGCCUAUAUCUACGAACGACACUCGCAGUUGAUCCUGUACGCGAAUUCUAUUACCGCGAGACUAGCCGAAAAAAAACACGGAUGGGGGCGGUAGGUCGGCUGGUACUGUUACGGAAAAUGUGUGUUUUUCUUUUGAUGAUCGCGGUAGACGCGGCGGUGACGAUAUCCCGACGGCAAAAUAAAAUAUUUGUGUGGCACUUCAAACGGAAAUUCGAAACACACCGGCUGCUGCUGCAGCUGUACCGUUAAUGGGUCGUGAUGGACAUUAUGAUAUACGGCUGAACAAUAUUUCUCGUGAUAUAGCAUAAUAUUAAAUUUCGCCUCUUAUCUCGGUAUUAUUUCUCACGUCUCCUCACUUCUUUAUUUAGUUUUCCCUACGAGGAUAUCCGAUGGGAUCGAUGAGGGUGUAUAAUAUUUCCGUAGACCGAAAAGCCAAUUAAAACCGACUGUUUCAUGGAUUUAAAUUUUCACUCCGGAGCUUCUUACUAGUAUUGGCAAUGGAAAUUUAAUUAUUUUACUGAAAAUUGCAAACAAAACUUUU
Molecule: non-coding RNA, 733 nt
Organism: Cinara cedri
Lineage: Eukaryota; Metazoa; Arthropoda; Insecta; Hemiptera; Aphididae
Source: the annotation of a GenBank genome assembly